RNAcentral lists this ribosomal RNA (382 nucleotides) under Engaewa reducta. Its description in RNAcentral is "partial 16S large subunit ribosomal RNA". It matches the Rfam family "Bacterial large subunit ribosomal RNA", at positions 1959 to 2540 of the family's 2925-position model. Lineage: Eukaryota; Metazoa; Arthropoda; Malacostraca; Decapoda; Parastacidae. The record is from RNAcentral.
GCAUAAUCAUUAGUUUUUUAAUUGAAGACUUGAAUGAAGGGUUGGACGAGAAGCUAGCUGUCUUUAUUGAAAGCGUUGAAUUUAACUUUUAAGUGAGAGGGCUUAAAUGUUUUGAAGGGACGAUAAGACCCUAUAAAAUUUAACAAUUGUAAAUUAAUGGGGGAAAUAGUAUAAAGUUAAAAGUAUUAUUAGAGGGUAUAUUGUUUUGUUGGGGCGAUAGGAAUAAAAAGUAAAUUAACUGUUCUUUAAUUGAACUUAGUGAUGAUUAAGGUUUAUGAUCCUCAUUAGGGAUUAAAAGAGUAAAUUACUUUAGGGAUAACAGCGUAAUUUUUUUUGAGAGUUCUUAUCGAUAGAGAAGUUUGCGACCUCGAUGUUGAAUUAA